CACGAUACCAUUUCUUUAAGCUGAAUAAUACUAAAUAAUAAUACAUUCGAACUUAAUUUACAUACAUCAAAGUUUACUUCCCCAGGUACGUGACCUUAAAAUACAUUCCUUACAAUACUUGAAUAGAUACCAAUACAACUAUAACCAUUAACUCAUAAUACACACUUAUUCAAUCAGCUUUCCUUUUCCUUUGUUCGUGCCUGAGCCUUCAGGUUGCUCAUACAUAACU
This 229-nucleotide long non-coding RNA is filed under the name Panax ginseng (ginseng). RNAcentral's name for it is "long non-coding RNA (PGIN_LNC002210)". Lineage: Eukaryota; Viridiplantae; Streptophyta; Magnoliopsida; Apiales; Araliaceae. The record is from RNAcentral.